GUUCGAAGUGACCGGCGACUGCAGAGAAAUCCCAAUCAGGCCGCCCGCUGCACAAUGAAUAACAGAUCGGUAUUCAAGCAGGAACUGCAGAUGCUGGAAGAUCGAAGGUACACAAAAAUGC
Molecule: long non-coding RNA, 121 nt
Organism: Amblyraja radiata (thorny skate)
Lineage: Eukaryota; Metazoa; Chordata; Chondrichthyes; Rajiformes; Rajidae
Exons: 3
Source: RefSeq, a predicted model, not a curated record